GAUGAACGCUGGCGGCGUGCCUAAUACAUGCAAGUCGAGCGAACGGACGAGAAGCUUGCUUCUCUGAUGUUAGCGGCGGACGGGUGAGUAACACGUGGAUAACCUACCUAUAAGACUGGGAUAACUUCGGGAAACCGGAGCUAAUACCGGAUAAUAUUUUGAACCGCAUGGUUCAAAAGUGAAAGACGGUCUUGCUGUCACUUAUAGAUGGAUCCGCGCUGCAUUAGCUAGUUGGUAAGGUAACGGCUUACCAAGGCAACGAUGCAUAGCCGACCUGAGAGGGUGAUCGGCCACACUGGAACUGAGACACGGUCCAGACUCCUACGGGAGGCAGCAGUAGGGAAUCUUCCGCAAUGGGCGAAAGCCUGACGGAGCAACGCCGCGUGAGUGAUGAAGGUCUUCGGAUCGUAAAACUCUGUUAUUAGGGAAGAACAUAUAUGUAAGUAACUGUGCACAUCUUGACGGUACCUAAUCAGAAAGCCACGGCUAACUACGUGCCAGCAGCCGCGGUAAUACGUAGGUGGCAAGCGUUAUCCGGAAUUAUUGGGCGUAAAGCGCGCGUAGGCGGUUUUUUAAGUCUGAUGUGAAAGCCCACGGCUCAACCGUGGAGGGUCAUUGGAAACUGGAAAACUUGAGUGCAGAAGAGGAAAGUGGAAUUCCAUGUGUAGCGGUGAAAUGCGCAGAGAUAUGGAGGAACACCAGUGGCGAAGGCGACUUUCUGGUCUGUAACUGACGCUGAUGUGCGAAAGCGUGGGGAUCAAACAGGAUUAGAUACCCUGGUAGUCCACGCCGUAAACGAUGAGUGCUAAGUGUUAGGGGGUUUCCGCCCCUUAGUGCUGCAGCUAACGCAUUAAGCACUCCGCCUGGGGAGUACGACCGCAAGGUUGAAACUCAAAGGAAUUGACGGGGACCCGCACAAGCGGUGGAGCAUGUGGUUUAAUUCGAAGCAACGCGAAGAACCUUACCAAAUCUUGACAUCCUUUGACAACUCUAGAGAUAGAGCUUUCCCCUUCGGGGGACAAAGUGACAGGUGGUGCAUGGUUGUCGUCAGCUCGUGUCGUGAGAUGUUGGGUUAAGUCCCGCAACGAGCGCAACCCUUAAGCUUAGUUGCCAUCAUUAAGUUGGGCACUCUAAGUUGACUGCCGGUGACAAACCGGAGGAAGGUGGGGAUGACGUCAAAUCAUCAUGCCCCUUAUGAUUUGGGCUACACACGUGCUACAAUGGACAAUACAAAGGGCAGCGAAACCGCGAGGUCAAGCAAAUCCCAUAAAGUUGUCCUCAGUUCGGAUUGUAGUCUGCAACUCGACUACAUGAAGCUGGAAUCGCUAGUAAUCGUAGAUCAGCAUGCUACGGUGAAUACGUUCCCGGGUCU
This 1372-nucleotide ribosomal RNA is filed under the name uncultured bacterium. RNAcentral describes it as "bacterial SSU rRNA". It matches the Rfam family "Bacterial small subunit ribosomal RNA", at positions 28 to 1381 of the family's 1533-position model. The record is from RNAcentral.